CAUGAAGACGGAAUUGCUAGUAAUCGCGGAUCAGCAUGCCGCGGUGAAUACGUUCCCGGGCCUUGUACACACCGCCCGUCACACCAUGAGAGUCGGUAACACCCGAAGCCUGUGAGCUAACCGCAAGGAGGGAGCUGCCGAAGGCGGGACUGGUAACUGGGGUGAAGUCGUAACAAGGUAGC
Molecule: ribosomal RNA, 182 nt
Filed under: uncultured bacterium
Lineage: Bacteria
Description: partial 16S ribosomal RNA
Rfam family: Bacterial small subunit ribosomal RNA
Source: RNAcentral